RNAcentral lists this ribosomal RNA (496 nucleotides) under uncultured bacterium. RNAcentral describes it as "partial 16S ribosomal RNA". It matches the Rfam family "Bacterial small subunit ribosomal RNA", at positions 28 to 506 of the family's 1533-position model. The record is from RNAcentral.
GACGAACGCUGGCGGCGUGCCUAAUACAUGCAAGUAGAACGCUGAAGAGAGGAGCUUGCUCUUCUUGGAUGAGUUGCGAACGGGUGAGUAACGCGUAGGUAACCUGCCUUGUAGCGGGGGAUAACUAUUGGAAACGAUAGCUAAUACCGCAUAACAAUGGAUGACACAUGUCAUUUAUUUGAAAGGGGCAAUUGCUCCACUACAAGAUGGACCUGCGUUGUAUUAGCUAGUAGGUGAGGUAACGGCUCACCUAGGCGACGAUACAUAGCCGACCUGAGAGGGUGAUCGGCCACACCGGGACUGGGACGCGGCCCAGACUCCUACGGGAGGCAGCAGUAGGGAAUCUUCGGCAAUGGGGGCAACCCUGACCGAGCAACGCCGCGUGAGUGAAGAAGGUUUUCGGAUCGUAAAGCUCUGUUGUAAGUCAAGAACGAGUGUGAGAGUGGAAAGUUCACACUGUGACGGUAGCGUACCAGAAAGGGACGGCUAACUACGU